Molecule: ribosomal RNA, 467 nt
Filed under: uncultured bacterium
Lineage: Bacteria
Description: partial 16S ribosomal RNA
Rfam family: Bacterial small subunit ribosomal RNA
Source: RNAcentral
GAUGAACGCUGACAGAAUGCUUAACACAUGCAAGUCUACUUGAAUUUGGGUUUUUUAACUUAGAUCUGGGUGGCGGACGGGUGAGUAACGCGUAAAGAACUUGCCUCACAGCUAGGGACAACAUUUGGAAACGAAUGCUAAUCCCUGAUAUUAUGAUUAUAAGGCAUCUUAGAAUUAUGAAAGCUAUAUGCGCUGUGAGAGAGCUUUGCGUCCCAUUAGCUAGUUGGAGAGGUAACGGCUCACCAAGGCGAUGAUGGGUAGCCGGCCUGAGAGGGUGAACGGCCACGAGGGGACUGAGACACGGCACUUACUCAUAUGGGAGGCAGGGGGGAGGAAUAUUGGACAAAGGACCAAUAGUCUGUGCCAGCAAUCCGGUGUGCACGAUGACGUUUUUCGGAAUGAAAAGUGCUUUCAGUUGGGAAGAAAAAAAUGACGUAACCAACAGAAGAAGAGACGGCGAAAUACGG